AAAAAGGCUGUUUUCACAGCCUCUUAAUAGAAAUUCUUAUUUUUUA
This is a non-coding RNA of Bacillus coahuilensis p1.1.43, 46 nucleotides long. The record is from Rfam. NCBI's taxonomy places the organism in Bacteria, Bacillati, Bacillota, Bacilli, Caryophanales, Bacillaceae.